CUUGGUAGGGAUACCCGCUGAACUUAAGCAUAUCAAA
This 37-nucleotide ribosomal RNA is filed under the name Otidea bicolor. RNAcentral's name for it is "partial 28S ribosomal RNA". The record is from RNAcentral. Lineage: Eukaryota; Fungi; Ascomycota; Pezizomycetes; Pezizales; Pyronemataceae.